UGUGCUCUGCAGUGUGAGGUAGUUGGUUGUAUGGUUUCGCAUAAUAAACAGCACGGAGAUAACUGUACAACCUUCUAGCUUUCCCUGCGGAGUCAC
Molecule: microRNA precursor, 96 nt
Organism: Dicentrarchus labrax (European seabass)
Lineage: Eukaryota; Metazoa; Chordata; Actinopteri; Moronidae
Source: Ensembl